UUGCACGCUGGCGGCAGGCCUAACACAUGCCAGUCGAGCGGAUGAAGGGAGCUUGCUCCUGGAUUCAGCGGCGGACGGGUGAGUAAUGCCUAGGAAUCUGCCUGGUAGUGGGGGAUAACGUCCGGAAACGGGCGCUAAUACCGCAUACGUCCUGAGGGAGAAAGUGGGGGAUCUUCGGACCUCACGCUAUCAGAUGAGCCUAGGUCGGAUUAGCUAGUUGGUGGGGUAAAGGCCUACCAAGGCGACGAUCCGUAACUGGUCUGAGAGGAUGAUCAGUCACACUGGAACUGAGACACGGUCCAGACUCCUACGGGAGGCAGCAGUGGGGAAUAUUGGACAAUGGGCGAAAGCCUGAUCCAGCCAUGCCGCGUGUGUGAAGAAGGUCUUCGGAUUGUAAAGCACUUUAAGUUGGGAGGAAGGGCAGUAAGUUAAUACCUUGCUGUUUUGACGUUACCAACAGAAUAAGCACCGGCUAACUUCGUG
Molecule: ribosomal RNA, 483 nt
Filed under: uncultured bacterium
Lineage: Bacteria
Description: partial 16S ribosomal RNA
Rfam family: Bacterial small subunit ribosomal RNA
Source: RNAcentral